Molecule: ribosomal RNA, 295 nt
Filed under: Micropholcus fauroti
Lineage: Eukaryota; Metazoa; Arthropoda; Arachnida; Araneae; Pholcidae
Description: partial 12S ribosomal RNA
Source: RNAcentral
GUUGCUWCAACAAACCUUAUACAAUGGCGGUUCUUGAUAAUUAAAAAAACUCGCUCUAUAAUCGAAAAUACCCGCUAAAUUUCGCUUCUUCUCUAAAGCUUAUAUACCGCCGUUUCCAAAGCAAUAUCCAACCCCUUUUAAAUCUUCUCUUAACAAAAAUCAGGUCARGGUGUASCCUAUGAAGAAGAAAGAGUAAGCCAAAUAGUCAAUAUUCAAAAUCUCUCUUAAAAAUUUAUAUGUACAAAUAAAUUAAAAUUUUAUAUAGAAAUAAUAAUCAAGAAUGUACACAUCSCCG